AUUGAACGCUGGCGGCAGGCCUAACACAUGCAAGUCGAACGAGUGGCGGACGGGUGAGUAAUGUCUGGGAAACUGCCUGAUGGAGGGGGGUAACUACUGGAAAAGGUAGCUAAUACCGCAUACCAUCGGAUGUGCCCAGAUGGGAUUAGCUAGUAGGUGGGGUAAAGGCUCACCUAGGCGACGAUCCCUAGCUGGUCUGAGAGGAUGACCAGCGACACUGGACCGGCACCCCGGUCAGGCCUCUAGCGGGAGGCAGCAGUGGGGAAUAUUGGACAAUGGGCGAAGGCCUGAGGCAGCCAUGCCACGUAUAUGAAGCAGGCCUCCGGGUUGUAAAGGCCUUUAAGUUGGGUGGCGUUACCAGCAGAGUAAGCACCGGCUAACUUCGUGCCAGCAGCCGCGGUAAUUC
This 406-nucleotide ribosomal RNA is filed under the name uncultured bacterium. Its description in RNAcentral is "partial 16S ribosomal RNA". It matches the Rfam family "Bacterial small subunit ribosomal RNA", at positions 30 to 526 of the family's 1533-position model. The record is from RNAcentral.